Small nuclear RNA from Ursus americanus (American black bear), 161 nucleotides. Its record names the gene U1. It matches the Rfam family "U1 spliceosomal RNA". Rfam says of the family: U1 is a small nuclear RNA (snRNA) component of the spliceosome (involved in pre-mRNA splicing). Its 5' end forms complementary base pairs with the 5' splice junction, thus defining the 5' donor site of an intron. Lineage: Eukaryota; Metazoa; Chordata; Mammalia; Carnivora; Ursidae. The record is from Ensembl.
AUACUUACCUGGCAGGGGAGAUACCAUGAUCAGGAAAGUGGUUUUCCCAGGGUGAGGCUUAUCCAUUGCCCUCUGGAUGUGCUGACCCCUGCGAUUUCCCCAAACGUGGGAACUCGACUUCAGAAUUUGUGGUAGCGGAUGAGUGCAAUUGCACUUUCCCC